AAAUUGAAGAGUUUGAUCAUGGCUCAGAUUGAACGCUGGCGGCAGGCCUAACACAUGCAAGUCGAACGGUAACAGGAAGCAGCUUGCUGCUUCGCUGACGAGUGGCGGACGGGUGAGUAAUGUCUGGGAAACUGCCUGAUGGAGGGGGAUAACUACUGGAAACGGUGGCUAAUACCGCAUAACGUCGCAAGACCAAAGAGGGGGACCUUUGGGCCUCUUGCCAUCAGAUGUGCCCAGAUGGGAUUAGCUUGUUGGUGAGGUAACGGCUCACCAAGGCGACGAUCCCUAGCUGGUCUGAGAGGAUGACCAGCCACACUGGAACUGAGACACGGUCCAGACUCCUACGGGAG
Molecule: ribosomal RNA, 350 nt
Filed under: Salmonella enterica
Lineage: Bacteria; Pseudomonadati; Pseudomonadota; Gammaproteobacteria; Enterobacterales; Enterobacteriaceae
Description: bacterial SSU rRNA
Rfam family: Bacterial small subunit ribosomal RNA
Source: RNAcentral